AUUGAACGCUGGCGGCAUGCCUUACACAUGCAAGUCGAACGGCAGCACGGGAGCAAUCCUGGUGGCGAGUGGCGAACGGGUGAGUAAUAUAUCGGAACGUGCCCGGUCGUGGGGAUAACGUAGCGAAAGCUACGCUAAUACCGCAUACGAUCUACGGAUGAAAGCGGGGGAUCGCAAGACCUCGCGCGAUUGGAGCGGCCGAUAUCAGAUUAGGUAGUUGGUGAGGUAAAGGCUUACCAAGCCGACGAUCUGUAGCUGGUCUGAGAGGACGACCAGCCACACUGGGACUGAGACACGGCCCAGACUCCUACGGGAGGCAGCAGUGGGGAAUUUUGGACAAUGGGCGCAAGCCUGAUCCAGCAAUGCCGCGUGCAGGAUGAAGGCCUCGGUUGUAAC
RNAcentral lists this ribosomal RNA (396 nucleotides) under uncultured bacterium. RNAcentral's name for it is "bacterial SSU rRNA". It matches the Rfam family "Bacterial small subunit ribosomal RNA", at positions 30 to 429 of the family's 1533-position model. The record is from RNAcentral.